CUUCCGGUAUACUUCCGGAAAAUUUGCAUACAACUAACAAGUGAGCUUUGUUCUCUGUAAAAUUCUAAACACUUUGUGCUAAUUUUAAGCAAAGGGAAAUGGUCUUUUUGAUUACUUUUAAGACUUAUGACUAUCUAAGGCCAGUCCUUUAGAUAGUGAGUUUUGGCCGUGUCAAAUAGAUGGCGUGAAAGAAUGUUGUGUCAGAUAUGGGCUUAUGGCGGUUCGUUGUCAAAAGUUCAGUUACAGCUAUCUUCUUCGAAAAUUACCGAUGAAUUCGUUGGAGGAAAUGUGAAAGGUGCAUGUACUGUCAACUAUUGUGUUAAAAAUCCUGGUAUCAUACUGAAUAUGUUAUCCAAAUAACAGAGUGGAUUCAUCACUAUUAUCGGCUGAAUCAUUCUAUGGGACUUGCCAGAUCACCAGCCCCAGCAUAGAGCAAUCUCUCAUUCCAUCAUCUAGAGAACCUUGGAUAACUGAUUACUUGUUUCAUGUGUUUUAAAUUACAGGUUUCUCAAUUGGCAGACAGACAGACUUUAUGAGAAAUCAUGUUCUUUCAAGAGAAGGACAAGGAC
Molecule: long non-coding RNA, 569 nt
Organism: Daphnia pulicaria
Lineage: Eukaryota; Metazoa; Arthropoda; Branchiopoda; Diplostraca; Daphniidae
Exons: 4
Source: RefSeq, a predicted model, not a curated record